This 256-nucleotide ribosomal RNA is filed under the name uncultured bacterium. Its description in RNAcentral is "partial 16S ribosomal RNA". It matches the Rfam family "Bacterial small subunit ribosomal RNA", at positions 521 to 776 of the family's 1533-position model. The record is from RNAcentral.
UACGUAAGGGGGUCGCAGCGUUGCUCGGAAUCACUGGGCGUAAAGGGUGCGUAGGCGGGUCUUUAAGUCAGGGGUGAAAUCCUGGAGCUCAACUCCAGAACUGCCUUUGAUACUGAGGAUCUUGAGUUCGGGAGAGGUGAGUGGAACUGCGAGUGUAGAGGUGAAAUUCGUAGAUAUUCGCAAGAACACCAGUGGCGAAGGCGGCUCACUGGCCCGAUACUGACGCUGAGGCACGAAAGCGUGGGGAGCAAACAGG